Molecule: transfer RNA, 74 nt
Filed under: Candidatus Gugararchaeum adminiculabundum
Lineage: Archaea; Nanobdellati; Microcaldota; Candidatus Micrarchaeia; Candidatus Gugararchaeales; Candidatus Gugararchaeaceae
Description: tRNA-Val(tac)
Rfam family: tRNA
About the family: Transfer RNA (tRNA) molecules are approximately 80 nucleotides in length. Their secondary structure includes four short double-helical elements and three loops (D, anti-codon, and T loops).
Source: RNAcentral
GGGCCUAUUGUCGAAUGGUUAAGACGUCACCCUUACACGGUGAAGACUCCCGGUCCGAUUCCGGGUGGGCCCAC